ACUCAAAUGAAUAGACGGGGGCCCGCACAAGCGGCGGAGCGCGUUGCUUAAUUCGAUGCAAAGCGAAGAACCUUACCCAGGUUUGACAUGGUGGAAGUAGGCGCCUGAAAGGGUGGCCCAGCCGUAAAGUCGGCAACCAUCACAGGUGUUGCAUGGCUGUCGUCAGCUCGUGCCGUGAGGUGUUGGGUUAAGUCCCGCAACGAGCGCAACCCUCGUCCUAUGUUGCGACCGAGUUAUGUCGAGCACUCAUAGGAGACUGCCGGAGAAACUCCGGAGGAAGGAGAGGAUGACGUCAAGUCCGCAUGGCCCUUAAGCCUGGGGCUGCAAACGCGCUACAAUGCGCGGCACAGCGGGUCGCAAACUCGCAAGAGGGAGCCAAUCCCGAAAAGCCGCGCCCAGUUCGGAUCGGGGUCUGCAACCCGACCCCGUGAAGUUGGAGUCGCUAGUAAUGGCAGAUCAGCAUGCUGCCGUGAAUACGUUCUCGGGCCUUGUACACACCGCCCGU
RNAcentral lists this ribosomal RNA (505 nucleotides) under uncultured bacterium. RNAcentral's name for it is "partial 16S ribosomal RNA". It matches the Rfam family "Bacterial small subunit ribosomal RNA", at positions 899 to 1397 of the family's 1533-position model. The record is from RNAcentral.